GCGCGAAAACUGCACAAUGUGGGAAACCACGAUGCGGGAAACCCAAGUGCCAGCGCUAUGCGUUGGCUGUCCUCAAGUGUUCACAGCUUGGGAAGAAAGUGCUGGGUAAGACGGGUGCCAGCCGCCGCGGUAAUACCCGCAGCACAAGUGGUGGUCAUUAUUAUUGGGCCUAAAGCGUCCGUAGCUGGCCUGUUAGAUGCCUGGGUAAAUCGAUGUGCUUAACGCAUCGAAUUCCGGGUAGACCGGCAGGCUUGAGACCGGGAGAGGCGUGGGCUACUCGCGGGGUAGGGGUAAAAUCCUGUAAUCCUGCGGGGAGGACCAGUGGCGAAGGCGCCACGCUGGAACGGCUCUGACAGUGAGGGACGAAGCCCUGGGGCGCAAACCGG
Molecule: ribosomal RNA, 386 nt
Filed under: uncultured bacterium
Lineage: Bacteria
Description: bacterial SSU rRNA
Rfam family: Archaeal small subunit ribosomal RNA
Source: RNAcentral